CUCAAAGGAAUUGACGGGGACCCGCACAAGCGGUGGAGCAUGUGCAGUUUAAUUCGAUGAUACGCGAAGAACCUUACCCGGUCUUGACAUCUCCGAAUUCGAACGAUCUAGGGAUCGAUCCCUGUCUGCUUGCAGAUUCUUACACAGGUGCUGCAUGGCUGUCGUCAGCUCGUGCACGUGAGAUGUUCGGUUAAGUCCUGCAACGAGCGCAACCCUGGUAAUUAGUUGCAUACAAUUCCCUUUGGGCACUCUAAAGAGACUGCCAUGACCCAAUUAGGAGGAAGGUGGGGAUGACGUCAAAUCAUCAUGGCCCUUACGUCCAGAGUCUACACACGUGCUACAAUGGAAGUUAACCAAGAGCGGGCAUUUGGUGACCUGGGAGCUAUCCUAACAAUACCUCCCAGUUCGGAUUGUAGUCUGCAACUCGACUGCAUGAAGCUGGAAUCGACUAGUAAUCGUCUGUUCAGCUCGUGGCCCGGUGAAUACGUUCGCGGGCCUUGUACACACCGACCGAAUCAUUCCAUGGAAGUUGGUUUCUCAAGAAGGGGCGUUCCAUAUAAAGCCAGGUUAAGACCGCAUUCAUGCAA
This 587-nucleotide ribosomal RNA is filed under the name uncultured bacterium. RNAcentral's name for it is "bacterial SSU rRNA". It matches the Rfam family "Bacterial small subunit ribosomal RNA", at positions 900 to 1465 of the family's 1533-position model. The record is from RNAcentral.